ACAUGUGCCUCUCCGGAAUAUGUCCGGACGGAGCUGAUGGACGCACCUGCUGGCCUCCCUCUUCCUUUCCAAGCGAGGACUGUGAGCGGCCCCGGGGGCUCCCGAAUUGUCCUGUGUGGGGGGUAGGGUGUCCCGGCUUCGUUACUGAACGGGGAGGGGGGUCAAGAAAUGGGAAUGUGCGUGGGCUGCAUUUCCUGCCUCCAGCCCCACUUGAAAUGAAAACAGCUGGAUUAAAUCCUGAGUAAACAGAGGCAGAUGGCAGAGCCCGCCAAGCACAUUUCCAAAGAUAAACACAGCCAGACCGAGCUACAGUUUCUCAAAAGGCCCAGAGGGAAAAAAGAAUGACAUUUCUUCGGCUUGAAUAUUCUCUGAUCUAAGAGCUCCAACUGGUAUCUGCUUUGAUUUUAUUUAGGGGUGCCUGGGGGGCUCGGUCGUUAAGCGUCUGCCUUCAGCUGAGAUCAUGAGCCUGGGGUCCUGGGAUCGAGUCCUGCAUCGGGCUCCCUGCUUGGUGGGGAGCCUGCUUCCCCCUGCCUCUGCUUGCCUCUCCGCCUACUUGUGCACACUUUCUCUCUCUCGAAUAAAUAAAUAAAAUCUUAAACAAAACAAAGGAAGCAGUCCAACAGAAAAAUGGCCAAAGGACAUGAACCAGAGAUGACAAAAAAAAAAAAAAAAAAAAAUCCCUUCAACAUUUGAGUAAAACACUCAACCUCACACAGAAUGAAGAGAAAGUCAAAUUAAACCAGGACAUCCUACCUGGGAAACUCUCUCCCUGCCUGUUGCCUGGUUCUCCUGGGGUGGCCUCAAGAAUUGGGGUAACAGUUACCUGCUCUCUGCUUCCAUCUCUUUACCUCUGAAAUGGCAAGACUAACAGCAUCUGCCUGAAGGGGCUGUUGCCCGUGCCCAUGUGGAGCAGCAGAGCUGUGCCCCGGGCGGGUAGAGCUCCUGUCCCGGACCACACUUCCGCCCGUCCUCCAAGGCCUCCCUGAGUGGUUGGCGCCCAGCUGGUGUCCCUGGCAGUCACGGCUUGUUCAGACCCUAACCAAACCACAGCACAGGAUUUGGAGCAGGGCGCUAGCAGGCUAUCCCCCUUUUCUGGGGCUUUCUGGAAUGCUGGCCCGGGAGGCACAGGCACACGGAGCUCGCCUGGACUCCAGCCACAGCCUCUCCGCCCGCAGGGGCAAGCCGACAGCAUUGCCCAGGGCCUGGAAGGAGUCGGGGCACCCAGCUGGCCCCAGCCAGGACGGCCAGGAGGAUGUCCCCUGCAGGGGCUCCCCACACGCAGUGGGCCCCCCCCUUCUGGAAAGAAAGUCAGCAAGUCUUAGAGGCAGAGGCUGGUGUGGGAGAGUCUGGUCUGAGAGGCCCCACCCCUUCCACCCACUUUCUGCCCCUACUCAGAAACCCACUCCUUGCUGUCGGCAUCCAUCCUGGGUCUUGGGGUGCUUCAGACCCUACUCCCGCAGAGCAGCCCAGUCCCAGCCUCUAUGUCCUCUGCUCUCUGAGGUUGGCAGAAUGGUGGCCGCAAGACGUCCCCAUCCUCAUGCUCAUGGAUUUAACACCUCGUCUGACAACAGGAACUUUGCAGCCAUGAUUGACUUUGAGGUAGCGCUGGGACUAGAAGGAGCGUAGAAGGAGAAACUCAACACCAUCUACAAAGCCAGAAUGGGCGAAUCUGGCCUUCAUUCCCCUGAACAGCACACUGACCCUGUCCCUGACCCCUGACCCCGCCCCGCCUGCGUCCUCCUGGCCUGGCUCCUUGACCACCAGCCAGGGCCUUCGAUGCUCGUGGCCCCCACCCCGGCUGACACACACGGUGGUUACCUGCUCCGUACUCGAACCUUCCUGCUGCCCCUGAGGGCCACCCUCUUCUCACUUUGGCAGCCUGUGGGCUCUGGCGAGACCCACCCCACGGCCCGGCUUUUCUGCAGGACAGGGCGCUGUGACAAGUUCCCCUCUAAGCCGCGGGGCCAACGGAAUAGCCAUGUAUGCCUGGAGGCGCCGUGGGGGCUGGUGAGAUGGACGCACGCUCCUUCACCCCGGGACCUGCAAGCUCUGGGCACUCGUCCUGCAGACGGGGAGACUGGGGAGCAAGGAGGUAGCAGUGGUGACCCCAGGUAUAAACAGCGUGGGGACGUGGGGCAGAGCCUAGGCUGCAUUGCCACAUCAGCGCCUCUGCUGGAACAGAAGGCGAACACCCCACAAACUAGGGGUCCUAACGCUGUGGCAAGUACACCCCAGUACUGACACGGCCACCUGCACACGGGGCCAUGAAGGGCCAGCUGUCAGGGUGAGCUGUGAGGCAGGCUCCUUGCGGGAACCACCCUGAACCCAGGACUGGCCAGGACGCCCCCACACAGGGCCCCAGGUCUCCGGGAGUGGUCACAGGGUGUUGGUGGGAAGGUACCCUGGAGGCAAACUCUCCAGGAAGGCCCCCUCUGCAGACUUCCCCCCCGGGCUCCCAGGGGAGAGUUGGGGUACAGAUUCCUGCCCAGGCUCCGCGGGUCCGGGAACCUGGUGGAGGGACAUUGGGGGGGUUUCUCCAGGGAGAGACACCUUGUCCCUUAGAUGCCGGUGCAAGUACACACACAGGUGCGAGGCACUUGAGAUGAGCCCCACUCAGCUGUGUGCGCGGGCAUGCGUGUGUCCCCGCGCAGCGCGAGCCGCGUCGUCCGACGGCCGGCACUCUGGCUGUCCCUGAACCGCACCUCGACGGAGCACAUGAAAGACGCCUUGCGUCCACCUUCCCUGCCCGGCCUAAGGGUCUCUGAGUUCUCUGACUGCACCUGAGCCCCACUGUGUUGAUUUUCCAUGAUCCGUGGCCCCAUUCUCCUGGUAACGGCCUUCUGAGGAGCCCGCACUCCCUGCUCGCCCUGUAGGCUGACUCAUCGGCAUGGGGGUACACCUGCUUCUUCCUCCAGGCCAGGACUGGGGCGUGAGUGUCCAGGGGGACCGUCCGCCUUCGGCCCCAGCCGCACAGCAGGGGCAGUCCAUGUGUGACGGAGACCCUCUCUCUGACGCUCAAGUCUCCAGGAGAGCCCUGGGGGUGCAGUGAGUCAGGCACAGGACAGGUGGCUGCUGCCACCCACCGGGACGGACGCCACUGGAGCUGAAGGAGAGUGGAUCGUGGUUUUAGUCGCUCGCCACACGUGGGCUGGGGCACAGAUUCUCUUCUGCCUGCACCUACCAUAGCAUCGGGCACGGACGCUCUGGGGGGAUCCACUGGUCACGUUACACGUGUGUUACACGUGUGCAAGCAUGGACUCGCUCAGCGUGUUUGCUGAAGGGUCGCUCGUGAGGACAAAUCAGCCUCCGAAAUGGGGUAAGGGGGAAUCCUGUGAGGGAGGAGGGGCUCCUGGGGGAGAGAUCCUUUCAGGCCAUCACAGGGAUGCUGAUGUGCGAAGACCCCGCAGUUCCCAAAGCUGAGAAAAGCGGUGUCCUGCCUGCCCCUAGGGUGAGCCAAACCUCCCCUCCCCUUCUUCUUGGGGAGUCCCCAGGGCCUCUCCCUGCUUCUCCCCUUCCCUCAGCUAAAAGCCCUGUUCGCCCCCACACGCCUCAUCCUCAAGUGGCUUGCGGAGGCCCUGCAGUGCGGGAACCACAGUGCGUCCGCGGAGAGCACGAAGCCCAUGGGCCACACCUUCCUCCCCCUAAGCCCCUGGCCCCGCACACACGGUGAUGCUGGUUUUCCUCUGUUACAAAGUAAGUGUGUGAACAUUCAGGAUGACUCUGGGCAGGAAUGCACCAAGGUGUUCCCAUGGCUGCCAUGCCAGUGGACAGGCUGGUGUUCUGUUAAAUUAUUUUUGCUUACUUAGGUUUUCUAAUUUUUUCUACAAAGACCACAAAUUGCCUUUGUUAGAAGAAGAAAAAUGUUUACGCUCAAUAAUGAGGUCCGAGACCCAGAAGCAGAGGAAGACCAGAGAUAGUCGGCUGGGACACUCCUGAAGACAGGAUGGGUCUGCCUGAGGCAGGCCCUGACCACCAAGCAAGGAAUUCGGAGAGAAUUCAGGGGCCAAAAGGGAGCCUCUGAUGGUCCCACACAGGAGGCAUGACUCCCAGCUAGGGGCUCUGCGAAUCACUGCCUGCCCCAGAAGCGACUCUCCUUGUUCCCACUCAUCACAUGCCCACCUGCCAUGCCACCUCUUCAGGGACACCUUCCUGGGUCACCAAGGCUGAGCCCGAUGUCCCUUCUGAGGUUUUUGCCUACAGCAACACCCAUAGCAAUGAUGGCAGACAUUUCCAGCAACUUAGUGAUGCAAGUGCUAAGUGUUUUAGACCCUGUUGUAAGGAUAGUUAAAGUUUAUAACCUUCUUGCCUUCAAGGAAUUCACAGGUGGUCAUUUCAGAACUGUGUCCAGGACCUGGGCCCUCCUAUCUUCUUGAUCCAUGCUGUACGGUUUCUACUUCCAUGUUCAUCUGUGGUGCAAGAGGGUUGCUGACUUGCAGCCAUUACAUCUCAAUCCAAGCCACAGGAAGGAAAGAGGAGAGAGAAGCAUGGCCUGAGACACAAACCACACAUGCUCACAUUAUUACCUAACAUGUAGUCACAGAGGCACAGCUGGCAGCAAGAGAAACGUAGUCUAUCAGGACAACCGCAUGCCCUGCUGAAAACUGGGGCCUUGUUACCACACAAGAGGGGAGGACAAGGGGCGCCUGGGUGGCUCAGUGGGUUGAGCCUCUGCCUUCAGCUCAGGUCAUGAUCCCGGGGUCCUGGGAUCGAGCCCCGCGUCGGGCUCUCUGCUCAGCAGGGAGCCUGCUUCCCCCUCUCUGCCUGCCUCUCUACUUGUGAUCUGUCUCUGUCAAAUAAAUAAAUAAAUUCUAAAAAAAAAGGGGGGGAGGACAAGCCCACAUUGACCCCUAGUAUCCCCUAAUAUCUGUGUGCCAUGGCCCAGAUGCUCCCCGCAGCAGGCACGAGAGGAGGCCAAGGCUCGGAGGCAGGGCAGCCGUCAGAGCGGCAGGGCUGGAAGGAGCUCCUGCAGCUCCGGACCUGGUUCAGCCACACGGGCACGUCAUCGGGCCGGCCCGUGCGUGUCAGGGGUGCUCCUGCCGACCCCCUCUGCUCUCAGUGUUGGCACACAGCCAACAUUUAAUACAUGGCUGCUGUGCUCCCGGGCGGAGGACCCAAGGAUGGGGCCUGGGUUCCCUGGUCAGCCUUCUAGGGGCUUCUCUCCCGUCAAGCACUGUCUUCUUUCCUUCCACUGUUCCUUGGCCCCAGUGCACCCCCAGCUCCCGCAUGAGUGGAUUGGGGCUCAGGGCCAGCUGUGAGCUCUGCUGUCCUAAUGCUGUUGCCUCCUGGGUGCUCCCACCUCGGGUGUCACCAUGAAGCACUGGCCAGUGACUCUGUGGAGCCGGUCCCCAGUGAGGCCCUGACAGGUGCCCAAGGACCGUGUGGGUGCCAGACCCCGCCACGCAGCUGGGAACUCAGCAGAAGGAGCUUUUCAGGUUCUUGUAGCUGGGACAGUCUGGGGACACCUAGAAGAGGCCAGGGACAGGGAAGAGCGAAUUCCCACUUCCCCGGCGGGCUGCAGGAGGGGCCGCCUCUAGGGCACCAGCACGGCUGACCUCAAGUCCCCUCCGAGGGGGAACCAGCCCCCUCUUGCAGACGGGUACUGGGCAUGAGCUGUGCUGGCUCCUCAGCAAGCACUGGAUGAAUGGGUGUGAAGUGUGCCCUCCAGGGGGCCAGGCCCCAGCCCCCCUCUGCAUCAGGAAGCAUCCGACCCCACAAGGUCCCACCCCUCACCUCACGCCUGCCAUGUUCCAGGGGUCCCCAUCCAGCUUGGUCCAAACUGAGCACUCAGGGACACUGACUGGCCACAGGAGGCCACCCCCGGAGCCCAGGCGGACGCAGGGCCCGAGAAGGGUUCUCUGCUCUCGUGUUUGCACCCCUGGUGUUCGCACAGGUGUUGCGGUCCGCCCUGAGUGUCUGCCGUGAGCAGAGCAGCCGGCCGUGGGCACACGCUCGGCCCGGCCGCGGAGAGGGAGGGAGGCCGCGAGCGCAGCCAGAGCGGGACUCGGACCUGCCCAAAGCGGCGGCGGACAAGAGCCCCGCCCCCCGGCGCACGUGCAGGCCCCGGGGGCCCCCAGCCCAGCGCUGCGGCUUCUGGCUCCGGCUUUGCGUCCCGGAGCCGCUCCCCUCUGGAAAACGGGGCUCACGAGAGGUCGCGGGGGCGCGGGAGCUCGGUGCAGCGAGGCUGGAGCCCGGCUCGGCGGGACCCCGGGACGCGGGGGUCCUCCGCACGCCCACGGGGCUCCGGGCCAGACGUCGGUGCCGCGGCGCGGGGCGCGGGCGGGGAACACGGAAGCG
Mustela lutreola (European mink) is the source of this 6294-nucleotide long non-coding RNA. RefSeq lists it as uncharacterized. The transcript has 5 exons. The record is from RefSeq and is a predicted model, not a curated record. Lineage: Eukaryota; Metazoa; Chordata; Mammalia; Carnivora; Mustelidae.